Molecule: ribosomal RNA, 525 nt
Filed under: uncultured bacterium
Lineage: Bacteria
Description: bacterial SSU rRNA
Rfam family: Bacterial small subunit ribosomal RNA
Source: RNAcentral
AAUCAACGCUGGCGGCGUGCCUCAGACAUGCAAGUCGAACGCGAAAGCCCCCUUCGGGGGGCAAGUAGAGUGGCGCACGGGUGAGUAACACGUAGGUAAUCUACCUUUGGAUGGGGAAUAACCACCGGAAACGGUGGCUAAUACCGCAUAAUGCGGCGGCACCUAAUGGUGACAGUUGUUAAAGCGGGGGAUCGCAAGACCUCGCGUCUAAAGAGGAGCCUGCGGCGGAUUAGCUAGUUGGUAAGGUAACGGCUUACCAAGGCGAUGAUCCGUAGCCGGCCUGAGAGGGCGGUCGGCCACACUGACACUGACAUACGGGUCAGACUCCUACGGGAGGCAGCAGUCGGGAAUUUUGGGCAAUGGGCGAAAGCCUGACCCAGCAACGCCGCGUGAAGGAUGAAAUCCUUCGGGAUGUAAACUUCGCAAGAACGGGAAGAAUAAGCCGGUGUCAACACCACCGGCGAUGACGGUACUGUUUGUAAGCUCCGGCUAACUCCGUGCCAGCAGCCGCGGUAAUACGGGGGG